RNAcentral lists this ribosomal RNA (166 nucleotides) under Escherichia coli. Its description in RNAcentral is "partial 16S ribosomal RNA". It matches the Rfam family "Bacterial small subunit ribosomal RNA", at positions 1 to 160 of the family's 1533-position model. Lineage: Bacteria; Pseudomonadati; Pseudomonadota; Gammaproteobacteria; Enterobacterales; Enterobacteriaceae. The record is from RNAcentral.
AAAUUGAAGAGUUUGAUCAUGGCUCAGAUUGAACGCUGGCGGCAGGCCUAACACAUGCAAGUCGAACGGUAACAGAAAGAAGCUUGCUUCUUUGCUGACGAGUGGCGGACGGGUGAGUAAUGUCUGGGAAACUGCCUGAUGGAGGGGGAUAACUACUGGAAACGGU